Molecule: ribosomal RNA, 776 nt
Filed under: Tenuiphantes tenuis
Lineage: Eukaryota; Metazoa; Arthropoda; Arachnida; Araneae; Linyphiidae
Description: SSU rRNA
Rfam family: Eukaryotic small subunit ribosomal RNA
Source: RNAcentral
GAGGACCGAAGGCGAUCAGAUACCGCCCUAGUUCUAACCAUAAACGAUGCCAGCCAGCGAUCCGGCUGUGUUCCUCAAAUGACACGCCGGGCAGCUUCCGGGAAACCACAAGCGUUUGGGUUCCGGGGGAAGUAUGGUUGCAAAACUUAAACUUAAAGGAAUUGACGGAGGGGCACUACCAGGCUUGGAUAUUGCGGUUCAAUUUGACUCAACGCAGCAAAUCCUACCAGUCCAGGACACAGGAAGGAUUGACAGAUUGAGAGCUCUUUCUUGAUUCUGUGGGUGGUGGUGCAUGGCCGUUCCUGGUUCGUGGAGCGAUUUGUCUUGUUUAUUCUGAUAACGGACGAGAUUCUAGCCUACUAAAUAGACGCUUCGAUCCUUCGAGUCGAGCGUUCUUCUUAGAGGGACAGGCGUUGUUUAGACGCACGAGGAAGAGCAAUAACAGGUCUGUAAUGCCCUUAGAUGUCCUGGGCCACACGCGUUCUACAUUGAAGAAAUCAACGUGUGCUUUCCCUGUCCGAAGGGACUGGGUAACCCGUUGAACCUUCUUCGUGCUGGGGAUAGGCGCUUGUAAUUAUCCGCCUUGAACGAGGAAAUCCUAGUAAGCGCGAGUCAUCAUCUCGGGUUGACUAAGUCCCUGCCCCUUGUCCACACCGCCCGUCGCUAUUACCGAUUGAAUGAUUUAGUGAGGUCUUCGGGACUGGCACUCGUAUUGGCUUUCGGGUCGACUCGGAUUUGCCGGAAAGAUGACCGAACUUGACCAUUUAGAGGAAAUA